RNAcentral lists this ribosomal RNA (253 nucleotides) under uncultured bacterium. Its description in RNAcentral is "partial 16S ribosomal RNA". It matches the Rfam family "Bacterial small subunit ribosomal RNA", at positions 524 to 776 of the family's 1533-position model. The record is from RNAcentral.
GACGGAAGGUGCAAGCGUUGCUCGGAAUCACUGGGCGUAAAGGGUGCGUAGGCGGCUUGGUGGGUCUGGUGUGAAAGCCCCGGGCUCAGCCCGGGAAGGGCACUAGAAACUGCCGAGCUGGAGUGCCGGAGGGGAGAGUGGAAUUCCUGGUGUAGCGGUGAAAUGCGUAGAUAUCAGGAGGAAUACCGGUGGCGAAGGCGGCAUCCUGGACCAACACUGACACUGAUGAGCGAAAGCCAGGGGAGCAAACGGG